AUUGAACGCUGGCGGCAGGCCUAACACAUGCAAGUCGAACGAGUGGCGGACGGGUGAGUAAUGUCUGGGAAACUGCCUGAUGGAGGGGGGUAACUACUGGAAACGGUAGCUAAUACCGCAUACAAUCAGAUGUGCCCAGAUGGGAUUAGCUGGUUGGUGGGGUAACGGCUCACCAAGGCGACGAUCCUUAGCUGGUCUGCGAGGAGGACCAGCCACACUGUAACUGAGACACGGUCCAGACUCCUACGGGAGGCAGCAGUGGGGAAGAUUGCACAAUGGGCGCAAGCCUUAUGCAGCCAUGCCGAGUGUAUGACGAAGGCCUUCGGGUUGUAAAGUACUUUCAGCGGGGAGGCGUUACCCGCAGAAUAAGCACCGGCUAACUCCGUGCCAGCAGCCGCGGUAAUUC
RNAcentral lists this ribosomal RNA (406 nucleotides) under uncultured bacterium. Its description in RNAcentral is "partial 16S ribosomal RNA". It matches the Rfam family "Bacterial small subunit ribosomal RNA", at positions 30 to 526 of the family's 1533-position model. The record is from RNAcentral.